RNAcentral lists this transfer RNA (63 nucleotides) under Typhlocybinae gen. 1 sp. 1 BY-2021a. RNAcentral's name for it is "tRNA-Glu". RNAcentral also lists the same sequence under 1 other name. The record is from RNAcentral. Lineage: Eukaryota; Metazoa; Arthropoda; Insecta; Hemiptera; Cicadellidae.
AUUCACAUAGUUUAUAAAACAUUUUAUUUUCAUUAAAAAAAAAGAAAUUAAUUCUUGUGAAUU